Molecule: long non-coding RNA, 4538 nt
Organism: Girardinichthys multiradiatus
Lineage: Eukaryota; Metazoa; Chordata; Actinopteri; Cyprinodontiformes; Goodeidae
Exons: 2
Source: RefSeq, a predicted model, not a curated record
UUGGCCUUUAAAGCCCCUAUUGAAAAGAUCUGAGGAUCAAACCUCCUCGACUACUGAUGGUUAUAAUUUGCGAUACACUGAUAGUUUUACAUGAUUAACGGUUAGUAUUUCGAAGUAGAUGGACCUUAAGAGAAAAAGCUUGAAAGGUGGUGCACACCUCUCCUAUAGAUAUAGUAAAACUGUAAGAUUUACUACAGGGGAGCUGAGCAUGGAGCCUGGGAUGUAAAGACAGAUUUAAGAUAAAAACCAGAUGGAAGCAAAUAAACUUGCUCUCCUUCUGAGUCUGCUCUCUGCUAUUUUGGGAAUUAUGGGAGGGGGUAUGACUUGGCAAGUGUAAAUACACAGGCUAGUAUAAGCAUUGGGUCUCCCUACUUAAAGGGGGAGGUAUAGGGUCUGGCACAUGUUCAGUGUGGUGACCCACUUUUCUUUGCAUCUGGACCUGAUAAGUUCCCUCCUCAGUGGCAAUGGGAAGGAGGUCUAGACUCCUGGACAUGCACUGACUAUUAGACUUGACCUCCUAAUUUUAGUUGUCUUUUAGGCUCAACACCUAUAAACAAACAUACAUGCAUUAGAAAGCAUUUAUAUUUAUGGUUGCCCUAUUUUUUCUGAUUUGAGAGAAGCAUUUACUUUUCCUUUAAGUUAGAGUCUGUGAUAGUUUUGCAAAAAAUCCUGGAGUGGUGCUGAAACCUUCAAAUCUUUUAGUUGUGAAGAGCUCUUUUCCUUGUGGGGAAAAUUUAAAAAGAUUCUUGCAAGCUAAGAACCACUGAAGCCAAGACAAGAGCUUCUGAUACUUUCCUUCUUCUCUUAUUCUCCUUGAGGUCACUGCAGUCAGUUGUACUGGUUGCCACUUGUCAAUACUGAAAAUCAGUCAGAGCUAUAAAUAAAAAGCUAAAAGAACAUAACAUUCACAUGUAGUUUAUGACAACAUAUUUGAAUUGAGGGAAUGGUCUUAUACUUGCUUUAUUUUCAUUCUGAUAUGCUGAUUUGAUUUUUUUUUCUCCCUGAUACCAAACCGAAUCAUUUAAGAUGAGAAUUUACUGAUGCUCAGACUCAAUGCUAUACCUGCAUUUUUCACAGUGCAGAAUUGUAAUCCACAUUUUGUUAUGGUGCAUAGGUGUUAGGUUAUGGUUUGCAUUUGUGUUUGUGUUCUCAUCAUUUCUUGUUGUUUAUUAUAUUCUAUUAGGUCUUUCCUUAUCCUGUAUAUUUAUCUCUGUUCAUUAUAGUCUUUAAAUGUGUUGCUAUAUUAGUUAAUUUCUUUAUGUUUAGAUUCUUAGUUUAUUCUCAUGUUCUGUUCAUAUAACAUUUGUUUUUGUUUUUCUUAUAUCUCCGUUAGACUUUUCUCCUUGGUUUGGUAGUUUCUUUGUAUCUUAGUUGAGUUCCAUUCAUGUUAGUCUCCCUGCUCUUCUUCUGCCUCAGCUGCACACAUCUACAUUCCAUGUCGUUCGCCACACUUCCCAGAGUAUGUUAGCUCACUGAUUGUGAUUUUUGAUAGCUAGAUUUCUCAGUUCAUCUGGCAUGUACCACAUUUUUCUGUUAGUCUGCCUGUUCUCUACUCAUACAGUGUGCCAUGUUCCUCUUGCGCCACACCACUUGUACAUUUUCUGUUUUCUUUAUUAAAGAACUCCUUAUCAGCACUUGGAUCCUUCUCUGACCCACCUAACCAUUUAUUAAAUUAUUAUUAAAUAUGGGUACUAAAAUCAAAGCCAUGGUUUACAAAGUGCUAACUAUCUUGACUAUCCAGAAACUUAGUUUAAUGUCCUGUACCAUAAUCAAAAAUACUGUGUGAGAGACAGUGAACACAAGAUAUUUGAACAAGCCUCCUAGUUUGUCUCGUAUACUUGAUCAGUAUGGGUGAAUUCUGGAAAAAAAAUAUAUUUAAGGGUUCUUGCAGUUUUGUUUAGUUUAUUUAUGUAACUGCAAUUUACAAUGGACAGUUUAAAAGACAAAAAGGUCAGAGACACAUCCAGAAAUACACACACUGGUUAUUAGGUAAAACUGUACACAGAGCAUCAGAAAGGGGAAGAAAUGUGAUUUAAGUGAAUUUGAGAUGGUUGUUGGUGCCAGAGGAGCUGCGUUAGCUGAGGUUGCCAGAAAACAAGACAAAGAAGACAACAGUAGUUGAAAUAACCUUUCAUUACAACCCAGGAAUGCAGAAUUCCUUUGUUGAAUGCAUAACAAGUCCAUCAUUAAAGGAGAAUGGCUAAAGAAGUAGACAACCAAACCAGGUUAAACUCCUGUCCACACACUUUGGACCCCUGAUUAUCAAAUAAGCACUGUUUAAAUGCCACAUCUUACCCAAGUAUUGUUGCUGAUCAUAUCCAUUCCUUAAUGACCACAGUGUACCUAUCUUCUAACGACUACAACCAGCAGGUGAAUGCACCAUGUCAUAAAGCUCAAAUCAUCUCGAACUGGUAACAUAAAAAUGGGUUCUUUGUUCUAUAAUGGCCUCUGCAAUCACCAGAUCCAUUCCAACAAAGCACUUUUGGGAUGUGAUUGAACGGGAGAUUCACAUUAUAGAUGUUCAGCUAACAUAUAUGCAACAGCUGAAUAGUGCUUUUAAGGACCAAAAUCUCUGUAAGCAACAAAAGGUUUUAGAAGGGAAUCUAAUCCAGAGCUUUAAAUACCUGGACUGUCUUCAGACAGUAUCUUAUUGGAUCAAAGACACAGACCCAGCUGAAUUUUAUUGUAGGUUCUGAUCAACUGUCUUUGUUCUCCAACCUUCACAGAAGGAGUAGAUGUUCACCUCAGGAUGAAUACAUCAUGUUUCUUUAGAGACAGUGUUCCAAUACCACAGAAUGUCUCAGGGGAGCCACAGGAACAUUAGGCUGAUGUAUUUGUUUCUCUAUUAGUAUUGAUCCAUGUUUAGUAUCAAUUCAGGCACUCGAGAGAAAUGAUCCAGUACAGGCUUUGGGGAACACAGGCACAAUCAGUUCAUGCCUUCAAGGACAUCUCAAACAGUAAAACCUAUGCAUCUAUAGCUAACUAAAUGGUGAUAGAAAACCACCGCGUAGAGCAUCUGCAGACACAACUAAGCUGUGAGAGAUGCCAAAACCUUUCCUCUACAAACACACACCCUCUCCUCUUCCUCCUCCCCCGCCUCCUCCUCAUCUCCCCCUGUUGCCGAAAGCCAGAGCAGACUGAUAAGAAGACAGCCAGAGACGGACUAAUCCUUCCACAUUGAGAGACAUUUCGGAUGGUGUGAGAUGGAAAUCAAACUGAACUGACAGACGAAGGCAGGAUGAGCCAGGAGCAGGGGAAGGCAAAAGGGUAGAAGUGAGGCGAGGAUACAGAUUAGCAAAAGUCUCUCUCUCUUCUGAGGCAGAUGUAGGUCAGCGCGUCUGGUGCUUGUCUGGAGCAGCAGAGUUUCAGAACCAUCUCUGCCAUCGUGCCCGAGCUAAGGGCGACUCUCUCCAGGCUACCAGAGGACAACAACCUGCGCCAACUGACCUGGCGUGCCCUGGAGGAUGCGCCAGCCACAGGGGAAUGAGGGUGGGGGUUUACAAGGGGGGCUGUAUGUGUACUUUUGAGAACCUUAGCCAGUAUAUGUUGUUUGCAUGUGUGCUGCAGAUGCAAAUGAAUGAGAUGGAGCGACACAUUGAAGGAAAAUACGAAGCAGGUCGAGGAGAGACGGGCAUUAAAUCGUCGCUCUGUCUUCGCUGAAAGAAGUUUUAGGGUAAAAUGUUCAUGUAAUACUAUUGUUGUAUCCCCUCUUCCAAUGAACAUACUUUUCAUCCACCGAUUUCCUACCUCCUCACCCCCCUCGUCCACAAUCUAACCUAAUCAUCGCAAAGCAUUAUGUUUCUUCCCCAGACCCUUUUCAGUUACAUCUGCAAUCGUCGCUGUUUUUUGCAAAAAAAAAAAGAAAAAAAACUAUCUCAGUGACCCUCUGAAAUCCAAACUCCAGGAUGGAGAGAAAUGCGAUGUUUGCUCUUUUGUCUCAUAAAGUAUUUCCUUCGCCAUGUUUCUCUGUACGGGUCCUUAUUCGGGAGAUGUCCCAUGCCCCAAAAAGCUGGAUGUCCAAAGUGUGCUCUGGCGUCCUCCAUAGACGUUUAAACGAAGACUGUAAAGCUCUGUUGAAGACUUCUGCGUUUCCCAUUCCCUGCUCCGUCUCCCUUCUCUGGCUUUUAGACAAUGCCCACAAAAAAUGAACAAUGUUUCAGAGUGCAGCUGCUGCGAGGCUGGCAGACUGGAGUGUGUGUGUUGCGAGCGAGUUUCCGUGUGUCUGUCUGUGCUCUCGAUUUGUCUCUGCAGCAUCUCAGUGUCCUGCAGUGGUACUCCUGUACUUCAGUGUGUACAGCCUGCAACUUUCAGUGUGUGUCUAUGCGUUUGCAUGCCUCAGUGUGACAUGGCAACCGUAUGACCUGCUGCGUCAGAGUCGUCAUGAUUAAUUUUUGGGGGAAUUCCUGGGGCGUGGCGUCGCUGGCCCGACCACACCUCGUCCACUUGUCCGUAUCUGAUUCCACUUGUCCCUCUUGUGCCAUAUUCUCUCACGAGUCCUUCUGGAAUACGAGCAAGAACUUCAACGAAACCAUUUCUGC